UUUCCGUAGGUGAACCUGCGGAAGGAUCAUUACAGAGUUCAUGCCCUCACGGGUAGAUCUCCCACCCUUGAAUAUUUAUACCUUAGUUGCUUUGGCAGGCCGUGGAAACACCAUGGCUCCGGCUUAUGCGUGCCUGCCAGAGGAAACAAACUCUGUUUUUAGUGAUGUCUGAGUACUAUAUAAUAGUUAAAACUUUCAACAACGGAUCUCUUGGUUCUG
RNAcentral lists this unclassified non-coding RNA (219 nucleotides) under plant metagenome. Its description in RNAcentral is "partial contains small subunit ribosomal RNA, internal transcribed spacer 1, and 5.8S ribosomal RNA". The record is from RNAcentral.